UACGUAGGGCGCAAGCGUUGUCCGGAAUUAUUGGGCGUAAAGAGCUCGUAGGCGGCUUGUCACGUCGGGUGUGAAAGCCCGGGGCUUAACCCCGGGUCUGCAUUCGAUACGGGCUAGCUAGAGUGUGGUAGGGGAGAUCGGAAUUCCUGGUGUAGCGGUGAAAUGCGCAGAUAUCAGGAGGAACACCGGAGUGGCGAAGGCAGGUCUCUGGGCCAUUACUGACACUGAGAAGCGAAAGCAUGGGGAGCGAACAGG
RNAcentral lists this ribosomal RNA (255 nucleotides) under uncultured bacterium. Its description in RNAcentral is "partial 16S ribosomal RNA". It matches the Rfam family "Bacterial small subunit ribosomal RNA", at positions 524 to 776 of the family's 1533-position model. The record is from RNAcentral.